UCAUUCAUUCAGCGAUUUCUCCAGAAUUCAUGCAGCUUUCAACUUCUUGAGCAUCUCCAUACAAGAAACUGCGUGGGCACAGAGGAAAGAUUCUUUCUUUAAGAAGCCUCCAAGAAGACUUUCCAGUGCAUUUUAUUGCCCAAAGCUGUGUCGCCUGACCACCUCUAGCCACAAGACAGUGGCAAGAAAUGAUCUGGUAUUUUCUUCUCAAUCCUGGGAGAAAGAUGAAGAAGAAUGGCUUAUUGAUUCUACCAUAUUGUCCAAAACCACUCCAGUGUCAGGUUGGCAUCGUGAUAUGAACGCUCAUAGGUGAGCAUUCCUGACUGACAUUCAGGCCAAUCAGACCACAAAUAAACUGGAGUUGGGCAAUAUCCAGAUCAUUUAUCACCCACAGAGUUGCUUGUGUGAAGUUCAGAAUCCAGAAUCUAAAUUAUAGUACUUAUUGAUGUGGCAUUUUCUUAGUAUCACGUGACAUUCUAAAAGCUAAAAAUAAAUAAGGUUGACCCAUUUGCAAAAUAAGAUCUAUUAGUAAAAGAUUAUGUGACAACAACAGAAUAUUUGCAAGUAUUAUUAUUUUUUAAAAAAAAGACAAAAAUUGAUGACUUGUGACGAAAACACCCUGUUCAUUAAUAACUUUGGUGAAGGCCUCCUGUAUCUAGAAGUCACUCUGCUGGAAUUCUAAGUUAUUCUCUCAGAUGGUAGAAGCAGAAGUGGGCAGGGGAAAUAACCUAUUCUAAAAAAAAAAAAAAAAAAAAAAUAGAAGAAGAAAGAAAGAAAAAAGAAAGAAAAAGAAAAGAAAGAAAGAAAGAAAGAAAGAAAGAAAGAAAGAAAGAAAGAAAGAAAGAAAGAAGAAAGAAAGAAAGAAAGAAAGAAAGAACCUAUUCUCUAAUACAAUCUGUACUGCUUGGAACAAAAAGGCUUACUGUUGCAAAGUGAUGGAUGGCCUAGUUUUUUCAGACACUCUAGGUUUCAGGUAACACAGUAGAGCAGGAUCUACUUGACUCAUUUUCUCCUCAGUUCUCUAAUCAUAGCUCUGCUUUCUCACCUCCCCCAGCCAAAUUGCACCACACACACACACACACAC
This 1084-nucleotide long non-coding RNA is filed under the name Canis lupus familiaris (dog). RNAcentral describes it as "lncRNA (ENSCAFG00000052644.1)". Lineage: Eukaryota; Metazoa; Chordata; Mammalia; Carnivora; Canidae. The record is from RNAcentral.